RNAcentral lists this long non-coding RNA (11420 nucleotides) under Podarcis lilfordi (Lilford's wall lizard). Lineage: Eukaryota; Metazoa; Chordata; Lepidosauria; Squamata; Lacertidae. The record is from RNAcentral.
CACCGUGCUAGAAGGAAACACCGACUACCCCCAUCAAAGCAAAAUGCAAGGUACUUUUGAUAGUUCUGACACCACAGUGCCAAUGUAAUGGCAAUUUGUGAUGUACUGAUGAGACUGCAGUAUGGUUGAGUUGGUGGAGAGGGGGGCAGGAAGAAUUUCAGCCUGGAGAGAAGAAGCCCAGAGUGGGAAAAGUUCCUUGAAAUUGCCUCCUCUACAUAGGGAGUCAACAGGACAGGAAGGAAGGACAUUCAGCUCAUAACAAUGAAUGUGUGGUUGCCUCAGGAAGUGACAGGGCUCUGUUACCUUCUCCACACCUCCUAAAUAACAGGGCUUUCCCCAAAGACAUUGCUGUGAUCUCACACCCAGAAUGACAGGCCAGCAUGAAAUGGCACAAAGUCAGGACGGAAUUUGCAAUGGGGCGGAAAGACAUUCAGCUCAGCUUCCUUGGGGAUGACUCAAGGCUCCUCCUCACAUUUUAUACCCAAGCACAAAACAGGCACACCUCCUGUCAGUUCGGAAUCUACAGUGAAAUCUGUUUUCCUCUGCAAAAGAAAAAAAGAAAUGGAAAUGGAGUUUCCUGGUUGCUACUGGGGUGAAUUUUGCCAGAAGUUGGCGUGUGCAUCUGUCCUGGUUGUGAAUAAAAGAAUCUUUCCUCCUUUUAGAAGACAUCUGAAGGCAAACCUGUAUUGGGAAAAAUUUUAUUGUCUAACUUCUUCUUCUUCUUCUUCUUCUUCUUCCUAUUAUGUCACUUUGCAACAGGCUUACUAGCUGCUUUGCUUCUCAGUAUGCUCUGGUUGGCCUCUGGUUGGAAUUGUAGGUCUGUGAAAGGGAAGCCCCAAUGCCCAGGAUCAUUUGGUGGAUGUCAUGUACUUUAAAUGCUCAUUGGAUGCACUUUAAAUCAUAGGAUCAUAGAAAUGUAGAGUUGGGAGGGACCCCGAGGGUCAUCUAGUCCAACCCCCUGCAAUGCAGGAAUCUCAGCUAAAGCAUCCAUGGCAGAUGGCCAUCCAACCUCUGCUGAAAAACCUCCAAGGAAGGAGAGUCUACUGCCUCCUGAGGAAUUUCUUACCACUGUCAAACAGCUCUUCCUGACAGAAAGUUCUUCCUGAAGUUGAGUCAGAAUCUCCUUUCUUGUAGCUUGAAGCCACGGCUUCAGGUCCUAAGGGCUUCUGGAGCAGGAGAAAACAAGCUUCCUCCCUGUGACGGCCCUUGAGAUAUUGACAGGGCUGCAUGGUGUGGCUCUCAUAUCCAUGUCCUGAGGGACAGAGAGCAAAAUAUUUCUCUCUCCCCUUUCUCCACCCCAUGAAGAAUUGCAAGGGUUCAGUUCAUCUGGCUGGUAAGAAGAUGGUUGGAGUUUGGAGCCCAGCCAGGGCUGGCUGUGGGCAGGAUCCUGGCAUUGCUGGGGUUGACUAGAUGACCCUUGGCAUCCCUUCCAACUCUACUAUCAAGCAGCCAAAGGAAGGGGCGGGGGAGCAAGAUGCAGAAGCAGGGGAGGCACAAUCACACACCCCAACAGCACCCUCUGGCCUGACCCACAGUGACCCACCAUGGCCUCAUCCCAGCACACUUUGACCCCGCUGAUUUUAUUUCUCUUAAUUCAUCUGCCUGACAACCCAGCAGCCUGGCCCCUGUUUGCCAGCUGAUGUCCCAAAGUGCUGCUUUGCAAGCAAACUAGCAAUAAGUGUUCCGGACUAGUAGUGUAAGAUAAAGAACACUUAGAUGGAAUUAAGCCCUAUAGAAAUAAAUAGGACUCUUUUUCUAAGUAACUAUAUUAUAUAGACAGCUUGGAACUAUAGCUGACCACAGAAAGAGCUCAGUAUCAGUAAAUAUAAUCCAUUUGCCCCAACAGUUUCUACCAGAUUAUUGCAUAAAUAUGAAGAUAAACCCUCAGGCUCUAAUUUAUAUGAAAGCCAAUCUGUGUUCCAAAGUUCUCAUGAGAAUAAAAUUUAUCAGGGCAACAUGAUGUACAGACAGUUCCAUCUUGGUUCUGGUCUGUCACAGAAUCAACCUGUAUGUUCCGAGGCAGAACCCUCCAGUUUCUAGAAGAAUACUAAUAUAGUAAAGGGGAAAAAGGGAAGGUGGAUUAUUAAGUUAUUAGAGGGUAGUUAUUAUAUAUACACAAGCUAUUACUUCCAAUAUCUCAGGGUUAAAAUAUUUUCAUAUGGCAGUAAGCCCCAAGACCUUCUUCUGCAUAUAUUUAAAAUUGGGAAGCUCUGAUUUAUAGAAUGGGGAUGAUAAAGAUAACAUGUAACCUUAAAUAUGUAACCUUAAAUAUAUUUAUAUAUAUUUAUACAGUGGUGGUCUCCGGCUUCUUCCAAAAACACCCCCAAAUAUGGCAAAGGGGUGCAAUGCUCCUCACUGCCAGAGAGGCCGAGAUUAAAUGCUGACCACCAAUCAUGGCUCAGUCAAUAGAGCCGGACUUUUAAUCUUGGGGUCGUGGGUUUAAGCCCCACUUUGGUUGAAAUAUUCCUGCAUUGCAGGGGGCUGGAUUAUCCUUGUGGUCCCUCUGUGAUGCUAAAGGAAGAGUUAAGAGCCUAAGCCCUGCCACGAACUCCCUAGUGGCGGCGGCACCCCUUCUGCUAUGCUUUUGUUGGGACUCCUAAGUGGUGGACAUACUAUCAAAGGCUCAUUGGCAUGGAUAGCCAAGGCCAUCGCUACCAACAACGCUCUUUGGAAAACAGGACAGUGGAUGGGAAAGGCCUCCUUAGAGGGCCGUACGGUAAACUGGGUGCAGAUAGUACAGACAGUCAGAAUUGGCCCUUGGAUGCACAUCUGAUUAAACCUGUGGGGCCUGAUUCAGCCAACUGAAAGGAAAGCGGAAGGCUGCUUCUGUGGGGAAAGGGAUGGGCAGGGAGACGAAGAGCCCCACCCUCUUCUUCUUCUGCAAGGGGAAUAACUAACAAAAAGGCAGCAAAACACACAGAGUGAAUUUUUCACAGCCCCACAGUUUUUGUUGUUGUUGUUGCUGCUGUUUGAGUUUAUUUAUUGAAUUAUGUAAGCGUGCAAAAUAGGGCACGGAUGUAAGGGUUGAUGGGUCCAAGUAGGCAUGAUGGAAGCAACAGUAUUUGUUCUUUAAGCGUGUCUGCCACAUUAACAUGUGAGGAAGCCAGAAACUAGCAAACAAGCAAGAGAAUAAGAAUGCUAGCCACUAUGGUCUGCAUUGCUGACACACAUCUAAAGAAGCAGGUAAGUGUUGGCACUUUUAAGUCACUGGUUUUUAUUCACACAAUGUUCCCAGUUGCGCCUCAGCUGUGUCAUAUCUACGGGAAACUGCCAAGAAUAGACCCACAUCCCAUGUCAUUCUGGCCUCCUUCGGGAGAAAGGGUGCAAUAUAAAUUCAACAAAUAAAAUAAUUAUGGGUGUUCCAGCUUGCGAACAUUCUUUGGAAGCCGAACGUCCGACAUGGCUUCCGACUGAGUGCAGGAAGCUCCUGCAGCCAAUCGGAAGCCGCCCUUGCGCCCCCUUCUAAAGCCCACCACUCUCAACAAACUCUCAACUGCCUCCCCCCCAACAUUCAGACUCGCUCUAAUAGCCUGAAAGGACACUGCACUCUUUCUACAACUAUGGCUGAGUUUCACAAAGGUGAGAGCCUGGAAGCUACAAUGCACAGGAUCAUUUGGGGGGCAUCAUGUGCUUUAAAUGCUCAUUAGAUGCACUUUAAAUCACAGAAUUAUAGAAUUGUAGAAUUGGGAGGGACCCCGAGGGUCAUCUAGUCCAACCCCCUGCAAUGCAGGAAUCUCAGCUAAAGCAUCCAUGGCAGAUGGCCAUCCAACCUCUGCUGAAUAACCUCAUAGGAAGGAGAGUCUACCGCCUUCCGAGGAAUUUCUUCCCACUGUGAAACAGCUCUUCCUGACAGAAAGUUCUUCCUGAAGUUGAGUCGGAAUCUCCUUUUUGUAGCUUGAAGCUACGGCUUCAGGUCCUAAGAGCUUCUGGAGCAGGAGAAAACAAGCUUCCUCCCUGUGACGGCCCUUGAGAUAUGGUCAGGGCUGCAUGGUGUGGCUCCCAUAUCCAUGUCCUGAGGGACAGAGAGCAAAACGUUUCUCUCUCCCCUUUCUCCACCCAAGGCAGAAUUGCAAGGGGUCAGUGCAUCUGGCUGGUAAGAAGAUGAUUGGAGUUUGGAGCCCAGCCAGGGCUGGCUGUGGGCAGGAUCCUGGCAUUGCCGGGGGUUGGACUAGAUGACCCUUGGGAUCCCUUCCAACUCUACCAUCAAGCAGCCAAAGGAAGGGGCAGGGCAGCAAGAUGCAGAACCAGGGGAGGCACAACCACACAGGCCAACAGCACCCUCUGGCCUGACCCACGGUGGCCUCAUCCCAGCACACUUUGACCCCCCUGAUUUUAUUUUUUCUUAAUUCAGCUGCCUGACAACCCAGCAGCCUGGCCCCUGUUUGCCAGCUGAUGUCACAAAGUGCUGCUUUGCAAGCAAGCCUUAUAAUGCCCUGCAAGAGGGAUGCCUGUCAGAUGACGGUGAAAGAAAUGGAUUCUGAAGGUAGGAGGCCCAGAGGCUUCACGAGCAAAUAAAAGAAGGGGAAGCCGCCAUGUAUAAAAAUUGCAACUUGGAUGUUGUGGUAUGUUAAUUCCAUGGGGAAUCCGUUCCCCACAUGUGCCAGGAGGUCGUAGCACCAACCUGAGCGAAACGGAGCUGGGGGGGGGGGGAGCAGGCCUGUCUUGCCUCAGCCCCUCACCCCUUCCUUCCAAGCCAAGGGUCGGGCCGUCGUGUGCCCAGGCAGGAGCAGCAAGCGAGGGGGCUGUGCCCCAGAAGAAAAGCACUGGGAAGGGCCAACAGGACCCCUGUCCCCUAGGUUGGAUGCCUAUGUCAACCAAUACAAUGUCCUUCUUUCUUCACAGGGCCAUCGUUUGGGAGAGCAGCUUAAGGUCAAGAAGCAGCAGCCCAGCGGUGCCAUGGGGAAACCCAGAAUUUGAAGGUAUGCUGUGACCUUCUGUGGCAGGGUACGUUGCCCCCCAAACAUUGAGGAAGGGAGGGAACUGGGAAGGCAGACAGGAGGGGGUGAAAGAGGAAACAUUGAGGGCUGUCGAUAGCUUGGCAGGUCCUCAGCUGUGGUCCCCAGAUGAGAUUUUCUGUUGUGAAUAACUGGUUGGUACCUUCCUCUGUUUUUAUUUUCCUUCCUGUCCCCCAGCUCCUCUGACAGUAAGGCCGUUGCAGUGGCUGUGGCACCGUUGGGAAGCGUUGCAAGUCGUGGUAUGUUAAUUUCAUGGGGAAUCCAUUCCCCACAUUUGCCAAAAAGGGCUAGGCCAGGGGUGGGGAGCAGGCCCGCCUCACCCCAGCCCCAAAUAAUUGGGGAGGGCCCUGGGGACCCUGGUGCCCUAGAGUGGAUGCUUAUGCCAGGAAAAUACAAUGUCCUUCGUCUCUCCCAGGGACAUGGUUUGGGAGAGCGGCUUAAGGCUUUGGCCAAGAAGAAGCAGCCCAGCGGUGCUAUGGGGAAACCCAGAAUUUGAAGGCAUACUGUGACCUUCCAUGGCAGGGGAAGUUGCUCCCCAAACAUUGAGGAAGGGAGGGAACUGGGAAGGCAGACAGGAGGGGGUGAAAGAGAAAAUAUUGAGGGUGCUGUGCCCCAGAAGAAGAUUAUUGGGGACGUCCCACGGCACCCCUGUCGCCUAGAGAGUACAAUGUCCUUCUUCCUUCGCAGGGUUGUGGUUUGGGAAAACCUCCAGAAGCCCAGCAGCGGUGCCACGAAAUCAACCAAAACGUGGAGGUAUGCUGUGACCUUGUGUGGCAGAGGAAGUGUUUCACAGUCAUCUUGCCAGCUGGAGGAGGAAGGCCUGAUUUAGAUAUUCCUAUAGUUUUAUGUGAAGUGUUUCUCUGUGGUCCACCUGGGCGGGACACGGAGCAUGAUCCUCUCCCAUGCCAACACCAUAUCCCAAGGUUGGGCCUGGGCCGUUUUAGGAUGGCAUGACUGGCGUGCUUACACUGGGCACCACGCUGCAGAGGGUGCCAAAACAAUGCUGAAGAACAAGAGGGAGGGGUGCCAAAUUUUAGCAUUGCACAGGGCACUCUUUAAAUUUGAGAGCCCAAUGUACACCCUGGUUGGGAAUGCUUCUGUGGAGAUGAAUCCCAGAAUUCUCCCCACCCACAUCCUUCCUAGAAAAAAGCAAAAGAUAUCAAUCUUUGGUCCAGAACCUAGGUACUACACCCUCACUAAAGGAGAUUGUAUGGAUGAUUCACUAAAUGAUGACAUGUGUACCUGAGCUUAUGGCCUCAAAUUCUCUUUAUCCUAUAUGCUGCUUUAUUACAAAAAUGACGACUAGACUACUGAUCCUUAAACUGAAUAGUUAUUUGCCCAACCACCCCCUCCAGAACCCACUGCUCCCAACUGACUCUCAACUGCCUCGCAUUCAAACUCCUUUUCCAAUCCUCAUCCAAUCAUCACUCACCACCAGAAUUCCAUAGUCUCCCUUUCCCCCUCCCUCCUUAACAUUCCCAUAAUAAUUCUAAUACAAUUACCUUAAUAACCGUAUUCCAUUCAAUAUUUUAUACACGCUGCUCCCUAUAACCAUACUGUUAGAAGCACUUGAGUUCCUGGUUCCUAGGAAAUGGGGGUGAGGAAACUACAGGUUCUUCAUCCCUGUUCUAAAAAGCAGAUGUCUUCCCCCAAAUGAUCCUGGGAAUGGCAGUUUGUUAGGGGUUCUGGGGGUUGUAGGUCUGUGAGAGGGAAGCCGCAAUGGCCAGGAUCAUUCAGGGGAAAGUCAUGUGCUUUAAAGGCACAUUGGAUGCUCUUUAAAACAUAGCAUCAUAGAAUUGUAGAGUUGGAAGGGACCCUGAGGGUCAUCUAGUCCAACCCCCUGCAAUGCAGGAAUCUCAACUAGAUGAUCCAUGGCUGAUGGGCAUCCAAGCGCUGCUUAAAAACCUCCAAGGAAAGAGAGUCACUGUUUCAGGCCCUAAGGGCCUCUGGAGCAGGAAAAAACAAGCUUGCUCCAUCUUCCUUGUGAUGGCCCUUUAGACUUAUUUAAAGGGCUGCCUGGUGUGGCUCUCAUAUUAGUGUUAUGAGUGUAUAAGCAACACAUUUCUCUCUCCCCUUUCUCCACGCCAUGCAGAAUUGCAAUGGUAACCAGAAGGUUGGAGUUUGGAGCCCAGCCAGGGCUGGCUGUGGGCAGGAUCCUUGCAUUGCCGGGGGUUGGACUAGAUGACCCUUGGGAUCCCUUCCAGCCCUGCCAUGCUAUGAUUAUAUCAAGCAGCUAAAGGAACAAAAAGAUGCUUCUGAAACAUUUGGGAAUCAUAGGAACACUCUCCACACCAGUGGAUUCCAGCAAGAGCUUGUAUCUUCCUUAGGAGAGAGGCAGGCCAGAACAAGGGGCGAAAUGCUCCACUUCAGACAAGUGGAAAUGCCAGUUGAGUGCCCCAUAUUAUAGGAAUGCUUCCUUCCCAUGUCUCCCACCCUCAUGUGCCAGACUGGUGCUAGCAUGGCUGGGAGCCAGGCGCUUGCUGAUUGCUCUGUUUUCUUUGCAGGGAAGGAGCCUUUCCCCAACGUUUACUUCAUUCUGGCCAAAUCCCUGGAGAGACAUGACGACCCUCAGGUACUGGGGCAGAAGGAAGGAAGGGUCCUUCUGAAACACAUUUGGGGAGUCUGUGGCUUCCAGCAAGUGCUUUUCACAAGCAUUGCUCCCUUCAACACAGGGGAGGCUGAGCAUAGCCAUCACAGCUAGUUGCUUUUGAUAGGCCUCUCCUCCAUGCAAUUGUCUAGCCCUCUUUGAAAGCCAUCCCAUCCAAGAUGCUCUUGUGGUGCAUCUGAUUCUCCUGUGCUUCCUUGUUCCUGCAAGGAGAUGACUAUUGUGAGAUCCUUUGGUUAAUAUCUAUCUGGGCUGGAAAAUAUUAAAGAAUCAGAGUGAAGGAAGGUGAGGACAGGUGACCCCACCUAGGCCUGAAGUCACCCCCCCCCCAACCAGGCCUCAAAACUGUCCAAAAUUCAUUUCUUGUCUUCUAAAAAUCCACAGCUAAAGUUUUCCUCUGUUUUCUCACAAGAUGCAUAGCAAACCGUUACUUUUAUCAGUACAAAAAGACUUGUACUGGAAGGGGGGAAAGCUAAUGAAUAGACUCUGUCAGAGCAGGCCUGAGAAACGAAUCUUAUCUCAUUCAGUUGCAGCAUCUUGAACACUCUUGGCUUCUUACCCCCCCUUUCCUGGGAAGAGUCCAAGACAGGAGCUUUCUGUUCAUGCUCAGAGGAACUCAUGGGGCAGGACUCCUGAGGGAGAAGAAAGGGGAGGGAACUGGAAGGGGAAUAUAUAUUCUGUGCAAAUGACUGUGAACUCGUGCAUGUUUUUGUGAACUAUCACACUUGCUCCUUCUACCAGUUCAUGGAUGGUAGAAAUAAAGCUUUUUCUCCGAAACUAUUCCUUGAGUGUCUGUUGACUCCCAUUUUCCCUUUCCCAGGCGCAAUAUUUUUCCCACCCGAGGGCAAAGCCUCAUAAGGCUACAAGAGGACUGGUGAGAUUCCCUUGAAGCACAACUGAUCAAAGGCAGGCAGAUCUGUUAGCAUCUUGAUAAAGAUGCUCCAACGACAAAGGAUACUAUCAUACCCAGCAAGCAUCUCAGAAAAAGGUCCCAAGCUGAUGGAGAAGAGAGCAGGUUAAGUGGUCAGCGGGGCUCCAGGUUGCCAUUUCUGGAUCCCACCACAGCCCUUCCAAGUUGCCCAAGAAAUCAAUGUCACAACAGUUUAUUCCUCGCACCUCCUCCUCAUGAUCACCUCGUGGGGCCUUCUCAGGCAUACGCUGUGUCUGAACCAGCAGAUCCCACCCAGUCAGAAAAGGAGUGUGUGCAGUCAUACCAGAAAUAAGCAAAAUAACAAAAGUCACCCCAGAACUGGCCCUACUGAACAUAUUACAAGAUAACAAUGCCCACUCACACUAGAAAGAAAUACUGCACGCAGUAUUUCUUUUUAAAUUGGCUUCAAGUGCAUCUAAUUUAGGAAUAAAGGAUUUUAUCCUAAACUUAUCUCUUGAAGAAAGUGCAUCUAAGGCAUCAGGUGCACUUAUGUCAUUUCUUUGCCGUUCCCUCACUCUUUGUCUCCUUGUUUUGUAGUUAACAUUUGGCAAGGUGGCUUUUGCUUGUUUCUCAAGCUCAUCAAAAUAUUCCCUUUAAAAAAUCCGGAAGUGAACUGUACAAACUUGCACAAGAACUCAAAAACAGGUCUGAUUUCUGAAGGGCUUUGCUGACCUUGUGAAAACGACCUAGCACAUGGAUUUAUAUCUCUAAGAUUCUGCAGACUUUGGCUGUGAACUAGGGCCCACAAAAAAUUUCAAGUUAGGCCCUAGUUUCAAAUUGGGCCCCACUGGCUGGCCCUGAGUCUCAUAGUUGCUGGGCCUGAGUUGCCCGAAGUCUUGGGUUUGCAAUUUUGGGAGAGGGGAGACUGCUUGCUAGGGGGUGGGCAGGCUGCCGAGGCCCCAUAGAUUUAGAAGCCCUAGGCUUCAGCCUACUAGCCUAUACAAAAAUCUGACACUGCCCCCCUCUUUUCUUCCCAACCCUGUACUGCAUGUAACACCAAUGUCUCACAACAAAUGUAAGUGAAGAACCUAAAGAGACAAUGCAUGUGUUUUUGAGGGGAAAUUAUUUCAUUUUAAAAAAGAAAAGGUGUGUGGCAGACUCCAGUAUUUAAAGAGCCCCCACUCCUAUUACAUCAUUAGAACCAGAACAUAAACCUAUGAAACUAGAAAAGAGCAAAAAAAAUCAGUGUUUGAUCCAGAAUCUAGGUACUACACCCUCACUAAAGGAGACUGUAGGGAUGAUUCACUAAAGGAUUGUAGGAUGACGUGUGUACCUGAGCUUAUGGCCUCAAAUUCUUUUUAUCUCAUAUGCUGCUUUAUUACAAAAAUGGCGACUAUACUAAUAAUAAUAAUAAUAAUAAUAAUUUAUAUUUUUAUUUAUACCCUGCCCUCCCCAGCCAAGACAGGGCUCAGGGCGGCUAACGCCAGGUAUAAAAACAAUUGAUUAAAAUACAACUUAAAAACAAGAUUAAAAUACAACAUUAAGAUGCAGCCUCAUUUCAGUAGAAACGCAAAUCAAAAACUUUUUGACUACUGAUCCUUAAACUGAAUAGUUAUUUGCCCAACCACCCCCUCCAGAACCCACUGCUCUCAACUGACUCUCAACUGCCUAGCAUUCAAACUCCUUUUCAAAUUCUCAUCCAAUCAUCACUCACCACCAGAAUCCCAUACUCUCCCUUUCCCCCUCCCUCCCUCCUUGAAAUUUCCAUAUUAAUUCUAAUACAAUUACCUUAAUAACCCUAUUCCAUUCAAUAUUUUAUAUACGCUGCUCCUUAUAACCAUACUGUUAGAAGCACUUGAGUUCCUGGUUCCUAGGAAAUGGGGGUGAGGAAACUGCAGGUUCUUCAUCCCUGUUCUAAAAAGCAGAUAUCUUCCCCUAAACAAUCCCAGGAAUUGUAGUUUGUUAGGGGUUCUGGAGAUUGUAGGUCUGUGAGGGGGAAGCCACAAUGCCACGAAUCAUUUUGGGGGAAGUCAUGGGCUUCAAAGGCACAUUGGAUGCUCUUUAAAACAUAGCAUCAUAGAAUUGUAGAGUUGGAAGGGACCCCGAGGGUCAUCUAGUCCAACCCCCUGCAAUGCAAUUCCUCCCUGUGACGGCCCUUGAGAUAUGGUCAGGGCUUCAUGGUGUGGCUCUCAUAUCCAUGUCCUGAGGGACAGAGAGCAAAACAUUUCUCUCUCCCCUUUCUCCAGCCCAGGCAGAAUUGCAAGGGGUCUGUGCAUCUGGCUGGUAAGAAGAUGGUUGAGGUCUGGAGCCCAGCCAGGGUUGGCAGUGGGCAGGAUCAUGGCAUUGCCGGGAGUUGGACUAGAUGACCCUUGGGAUCCCUUCCAACUCUACCAACUCUAGUGACUGGGGGCAGCCGCCGAGACCACACAACACCGGUCUUGAAAGACCUACAUUGGCUCCCAGUAUGUUUCUGAGCACAAUGCAAAGUGUUGGUGUUGACCUUUAAAGCCCUAAACGGCCUUGGUCCAGUAUACCUGAAGGAGCAUCUCCACCCCCAUUGUUCAGCCCAGACACUGAGGUCCAGCCCCGAGGGUCUUCUGUCGGUUCCCUCACUGUGAGAAGCCAAGUUACAGGGAACCAGGCAGAGGGCCUUCUUGGUGGUGGCGCCCUCCCUGUGGAACGCCCUCCCAUCAGAUGUCAAAGAGAUAAACUACCUGACAUUUAGAAGACAUCUGAAGGCAGCCAUGUUUAGGGAAGUUUUUAAUGUGUGACAUUUUAAUGUAUUUUUAAUCUUUGUUGGAAGCUGCCCAGAGUGACUGGGGAGACACAGCCAGAUGGGCUGGAUACAGUGGUGCCUCGCAAGACGAAAUUAAUCCGUUCCGCGAGUGUCUUCGUCUAGCGGUUUUUUCCGUCUUGCGAAGCAACCCUAUUAGCGGAUUAGCGGAUUAGCGCUAUUAGCGGUUUAGCGGCUAUUAAAGGCUUAUCGGCU